AUACGUACGUCUCAAGCGUUACCCGGAAUCACUGGGUGUAAAGGGUUCGUAGGCGGUUUGAUAAGUUGGAUAUGAAAGACCGGAGCUCAACUCCGUGUUGGUGUUCAAAACUGUCAAACUAGAAUCAGGGAGAGGUAAGCGGAAUUCUAAGUGUAGGGGUGCAAUCCGUAGAUACUUAGAGGAACACCGAAAGCGAAGGCAGCUUACUGGAACUGUAUUGACGCUCAUGAACGAAAGCGUGGGGAGCGAAAAGGAUUAGAAACCCUAGUAGUCC
Molecule: ribosomal RNA, 274 nt
Filed under: uncultured bacterium
Lineage: Bacteria
Description: partial 16S ribosomal RNA
Rfam family: Bacterial small subunit ribosomal RNA
Source: RNAcentral